Molecule: non-coding RNA, 1082 nt
Organism: Camellia sinensis
Lineage: Eukaryota; Viridiplantae; Streptophyta; Magnoliopsida; Ericales; Theaceae
Source: RefSeq, a predicted model, not a curated record
AGUUACUCAUGCCUGUAGGCUCCUAUGUCAGUUGAGCAAAGUUUCAUCUUUUAUUCUCGCUAGUGUGAAAUCUAUGAGUUUGACUGAGGUUGGGUUGUACGGGAUGAGGGGUGCUUGAUUGGGUUGGUUUUCUUUCCAAAUUUUGAUGUACAGGAUGGAUGGGAUGAGGCUUCAAACAUGGCAUCAAAGACUUUUUGAAAAUCAAUGUAUAGACCAGUAAUUGCGUAGUGCAGUAAGUAUAGAUCAGAGCAGGCACAACAUCACCUAUAAUCUACAAUUUAUCCUUUCUUACUGUUAUCCUUUCCUACUGUUGCUUUAAAUUUGAUGCUCUAUGUCAAAGCCAGAAAGGACAUUAUUAAGGUUCAUGAUUUUCAUAAAGGUAUUAACAUCUUCAUGAUUUGACUGUUGUUUGGCAGUCAUGAUUGGUAUGUAAUGAGGUGUAAUUGAAAAGACUCUUACUUUUUGCCAAAUGAUGUUUCUGGUCUCUAAAAGAAUAUUCAGUUAAUGCUAAUUACUACACAAUUUUUUAAUACUAUGUUGUAGGAAUUACCUGGUGUCUGGAGUCAGCAAGCAGAUCCAAGUCAAUAGAGCAGCACCUAUUAUGGUUACGGACAAGGUUAUGAUGCCUAUGGUUAUGGGACUACACAUGAUCCUUCAUUAUAUGCCUAUGGUACAUACCCUGGUUACGCGCAGUACCCUUAAUAGGGUUUUGAGAAACUGUAACAUGUCUGGUGAAAUCCCGAAAUAUAUUUGGAAAAUGAUGAAUCUGCAAAUGUUGUAGAUUCUGUAGUUUACCUUGUUGACGCGUACGACAAAGAGAGAUUUGCAGAGGCCAAAAAGGAGCUGGAUGCCCUACAUAAAAAAGAACAACAAUACUCAACCUUGUUAACAUCAUAUGUUCUUUUUUUUUAAAUUGAUGCUGAUUAUGUUAAAUUUUUGUUGGAAUGAAUUUUUUUUUGUUUUUUGGGGUUUAGAAUAGGGUUUUGUGAAUUGUUCCUUGUUUUUAGAAUCAAUGUUGCUGCUGCUGAGUUAUGUGUUGAAACUUGGAUAUAGAAAAUUUUAUAAUAAGACCUGUUUUGAUU